Molecule: long non-coding RNA, 816 nt
Organism: Myzus persicae (green peach aphid)
Lineage: Eukaryota; Metazoa; Arthropoda; Insecta; Hemiptera; Aphididae
Exons: 3
Source: RefSeq, a predicted model, not a curated record
CUUUCAGCUAAGCUUUGUAUCAUCAGCACCAAAGCAUGAUUUGCCAAUUCAACCUUAUUAUCAAAAUCGUCCCCCAAGUCUUCUAAUCCCAAUAUUUUGAAAAACUUUUCAUCAAAGCCACAUCCAAUCUUAACGGCCAUUAAGUGUCUUCUCAGGGUAUCUACACAAGGAAGUGGUAAAAGAUUUUGCUCUCGUAGAAAUUUAUAGCCACUAGGAGAUCUAAAUAGAGCAGAAGACUGUUCUAUGAAAGAAAUUGUAUGCUGUUUAUUUUGAUUUUCUGAAGUGCCUGAAGAACAUGAACUAGAUGUAUCGUUUAAUGAAAGUGAAUUUGAGGUUUUAGAAAUGGUAGAUUUACCCAUUGUUAAAUCAGAUAAUUCAAAAGAAGUUGAUGUUGAUGUAUCGACCGUAUUGUUAUAUGCAUGAGACUAUAAAGUAUAAUUAAUUUUUUUUUAAAUUUUUUUUAUGCAUAUAUUUUUAAUGUAAUACUAACAAAUAGAUUAAAACAAACCUCUGUGUCUGUAGAUUCUUCAUUUUCAUUAAUACAGGGUAUUGGUAUAGCAUCUUUUUUAAGUUGUAAUCUUUUCAAACAUACCUAAUAGUUAAUAAUAUAAUUUUAAAGUUUGUUAAUUAUUAAGAUAAUGUAAAUUAAUACAUUUUAAUAUGUCUGGAAAUUGAAAUCAACUUAUAUAUUUAUAUAAUUAAGUGUAGUACUUACAGUGUACUUGUUUGACCCUUCACCAGAUUCCCAAGUGCUUUUAACAUCACACAUUUUAAAAUGAUUUGCGCAAAUGUGAUUAUUUUUUUUUAGCAAUAUCC